UAACACAAAAUUUAGUUAUUUUGAAAGUGUGAGCAUAAAAUAGGUAACUCUGAGCUUUUAAAAUACCUUAGAGCUGAAGAACCUUGCAAUAAAUAUCUUUUAUUGGGGAGUUUUAGAGUGUAACCCUUGUGUACUCUGAAAGGUUCAUUGAUGGUUUCCAAAACCCACAGAGGAUCCCUCUGCUGGUAGUAAGAUUUUGAGUCAAUGCGUAAGUGUAUCUGUGAUAAUCCAUUUGCAAGAUCAUGAACAUUUUCACAUGUGUAAACCAAGUUGAAGUAAACACGGUUUACAACAUUUUAAGCUGUAGGCAUUUCUGUCUGAAAAUGGGGAAUUCAGUAUGCAUACUUCAGAUUCCAUUCAGAGGAACAAUAGUAAACAAUUCUAACCAAAAUACAGUGGUUUUCCUCCCAAGUACUACACUAAGCCCCACAGAAACUUAUUUCUGACACCCCCCCCCCUCCAACUUUUAAUAUUAGCAAUGGUUUCUGCAAAAAUAAACGUUCCCUCAAAGUAUUGGCAACCCAAACACAAAAGCCAAAACUUGAAGAUAACAAUAGUGACCUUCUGAGUUUGGUUUUUUUUCUCUAACUUAAGAAAAAUUGCUGAAGUGAAGAGCACAAAUAGAAGCUACAUAGAUUUUUAAGUUUUUGGUUCCUGAUAUUGGUAAAAGGUGAGCAAGAAUCUAUAAUAGCAGAUUUACCUGUUGCUUUCAGAGGAGGAGGAUACGGUUGCAGCUUUUGGAGUCUGUGGUUUGGGUCACCUCAUGCUGCACACUAGUUAGGCUGACUACCAUUCCAGCAUUUCUAGUCAUGCACUGAUAGAUGAUUACCUCAGACUUCACUGGGACUGAGUGCAUUCUAUGUGUAUUUCUGAUAUAUGGUUUAUUUUUAGCCAGCAGGAGGAUAUAAGGACUCAGGGAAUGGCACAGCUGGAGGCAAAGGGAAGCCUAGCUCAGCCUAGCUUGGAGCUCUCUCCUACAUCUUGGACAAGUUCAGGAAAUAAAACUCUUUUAUGCUGGUUGGAGGUGUCUACAAGGAGCACCCCAUGCUGGCUGGUAUCUUGAGCAGUCCAGAAAAAGAGGCAGAAACGGUUCCUGUUUACAAGUUGGAAAAAGCAAAUUAAGCCAAGAAGGUGUUUGCAUAGUUUUGCCUUAGUAGUGAAAGAGAUGUAUACUCAGGAGCUGACAGUGGUUGAGCAUUCCCUCUGUAAAGCUCAGGCAGGAAGGAGGACUGUACACAACACUGUCCUGAAAAUGUGUCUUCGAAUAAGUCUUCAUAGUAGAAGUACUGGAAGUCUGAAGGAGAUGGAGUCUUCUAAAUAAUGAUGGUCUUAUGGAGGAGGUCACGCUCUCCUCUCACGGAGGAAGGAGAUGGAAAGAACUGUUGUGGAAGCAGUUGGCAAGGUCAGUCUGUCUUGUUGUCACAAGAGUGGCAGGAAGGAGGCUUCCAAACAAACCCAAGCCCCAGGAGUGAGGCAAUCACCGUUUCUUCCUGCUCACAUCAAAUUCUUGUUCAAGGCAUUUCCAAAUAAGGGUUAGGAGCUGAGCGCUGCAACCGCAAGAUGACAGUGCAAUGCUGUUAAAACCAAGACUCCUUUUUCCUUCUACUUAAAAUAAUCUAUGUCCAGCCAUGAAUCAAAGCUCCUCUUUAACCUGCCAUGCUCUGAAAUAGACUGACAGAAACAUACACAAAUCCUCCUGAAAAAAUAAAUGAUGAAAAAAGCUUUAGCUGGCAAUUCCAGAGUAAGAAUGAUUAGCAAGUUGCACUGUUGAGUUAACAUGAUUUUAAUCAUGUGCUGCUUGUUAAUCUCAAGGGAAAAAAUGCCACAAUGUGUCUCUUGUGUGAGCAAAAGGAACACAAGAAUCACAUGGCAAAGUAAUUUUUGCAUAAUGGUAUCAGUAAAAUCAAAUAAACAUAAAAGAGAACAAUAUUCCUGGCCAAAGUAAGUUAACCUGAGAUCAGUGGAGCUUUACUAAUCUAGCCACCAAAAGGUCUAUCUUGUCACACAGACCCUUGAAGUCCUCCCCUUUAGCUUGCCAAUGGUAGAGCAGCAAAGGGCCAUGGGAUAGUUGUUGAGAUGCAUCACUAAAGUAAAAGCAAACCAAUAUGGUACUGAUGGAAAGAAAGAGAGAGCAAUUUUAGCGUUUAAGGUUAGGGCAGUGGUGACAGGGUGAGAGCAGCUUUGAGUUUGCCAGUACUUGAGCCUGCUUUCACUUUGUAUGAACUUUUAAAUAUUCAGGAAACCUUCCAGUGAUGCUUUGAUUUCAAAAGCUAUCUGGUGGCCAACGUGUCCAAACCCAGCAAUUAAACCAAUAAAUUUAGAGGCCAGUCUUUAAAAGUUCUGAUCUUCAAACGCUGCCACUAGUGCAUUAUUCAUGGAUUUGUUUUUUUCCUUUGAUAUCUCUCUAUGGUAUGAUCUAUAUAGCAGAAAAGAACCCACAUCUGUCUGUUUACACCACCCUGGGAAUUCCUGUGGGCAACCAAAAAAGUCAACCACAAAUAACUGCUGGGCUACCAACAAACAUCGUAUCUGGAGUGCCUCCACCCACCUGCCAUUGGGCAGAUUUCUAAAUCUUAUUUGAACAUGUGAAAAAUCUGAUUGUGUUGGAAGGGGGAUAUAGAGGGGGAGCUGGGGAAAGGACUAGUUUGAAAAACUAACCUGAAAUCAGCAGAACUAGUAUGGGAUUUCUGGGGGAGUAGGUUACAUAUGGGCCCUGAGCAUCACAUCAUGACACAGUGCUUCUCAUUGAAUCAGAUCAUUUGACUCACUGUGGGGUUCAAGGUUGAACCCUUUUGUGCUGAGGGUAUGCAGGUGGUUCUGAGCUGCAUCUUGGGGAAAGAUGGACAGAAAACAUCCCAUAAACCAUUUUGAAAAUUCAGGAAAAAUUCUGCAAUGGGAUACUGGGAGAGGCUUUAAAUUCCAGUUCUGCCCUAGCCAGUGGGCCUUUCUGGUCAUUCUCACUUUAUCUGCAGGGUCUUUUUACAUGGUUAUGGGUCUUGAUGGAGAGAGUUACAAUUUCCAUUGGUUUGAAAAGUUGCUCAAUACAUCCAAUGAUGAACUCCCAACCAAGCCCUUCACUCACCCAAAUACUUUUCUUAAUGCAUGUACCUGAACUGAAGCAUUUUUUUAGUCUUCUCAAAAUCAGUCGAAGGUAUUACUACCUAAAAAUAGGCAUCCACCAAGGUGAAUCUCAUCCUAUGACUCUUCAUGUCCUUGAGAUGCAUAGAAAAUAUUCUGAUUUAUUAGCUUGAUCUCGCAUUGUUACUUGAUUUGCAGUAGUCAGUGAGCUCUUAACUCUGCUUUAGUAGUCGUCAAUCAAUCAGGCGUUCCACUUUAACUUGAUACACAAUUAAAAAGCUAAAGCUAUAGUAUAGAUGGUACGAAGAUUUUGUUGUUUGUAAAUAGUUUUCAGCCAGGCGUUGUGUCAAUGGGGUUUUUUGAGCCUUUAAUUUUUGAUGUGGUAAUUUCUCCUUGUCAUCUUAUAUACUAGAGUAUGCUGCACUUUCUUUGACUUGUCCCCUUGGACAUUUGCUACUCGUACAGUUUUUAUUUCCUGCCUCUGGGUAGCAGUUUUUCCCCUUCUAGUUUCUUUCAAUUAGUUGAGAAAUACUUUCCAUUUUUCUUUUUUUUUUUUAAUUGGCAUAUCAUCAUAAUUUUUAUGAGGAUACAUUUACCAUUUACAUUUGUUGGGAUCUUACAGCUCCAGGGCAAUACCCUCCACGUCAGACCUCUUAACAAAUAAAAAUUAAAAUUUUUAAGAUUUUUUUUUUAAUCUAGUGGUUUUUCUUACUCUUUCUCUGAACUCCGAAGUGUAAAAACUUGAUUUUUUUAAAUCACUAAGCCUUCAAUUCAUUCAUGUCAGCUGAAGGUCUAACAGAUUUUUGUAUUUGGGGUGCCUUUCUGGCUUUUCCUGACUUUCUCCUUCCUUAUGUUUAUCCUCAUUGUGGAAGACGGCCACGACUCCACUAUUUCGUGCAAAUUAGAGGUAGUGCUGGGGUCCCUGGCAAGUUCCCAAUAUGGGUCUCAGAUGACUUAAAUCCUUCCCAUGGGUACAUCGACACAUUAUUGAGCAAUUACAUUCUCUUGUGGCAGUCAUCUGUGGAAUAAGUAAACUCCCUCUAUUAGCCACACAAUGAUAUCAUGCACCAUAAAUGCAUGCUUGGCCUCCAUUGUGUCAACAAUCAGUUAUGUUCUCAAAGGAAGAAAUGUGAAUAUAAUUCUAAAACUACAGUGACUAAUAAACAGGUUAGUUUUAUUACUUGUUUCAGCCCUGAAUGCCAACAUUGCAUUUAACUCAAAAGACUCCCAUAAAAGUAGAAGGCAUACAGGUAAGCAUAGAAUUAUUUAUUUGUUGUAAAUAUAUUAUAACUUUUGGGGUUGGGGUAGAAAGGGAGUCCAAAAGAGGAAAGUAACUCACGUUUUGAUCUUUUUUCUCCACUGACUUAAUGAAAGCUACUCAUAAUUUUCUCAUCAAUCACUUUUGCAAAGCUGUGACGUACAUUACUGAUUGUGGAUCUGCUUGCACCAGCAGAAUAUUUAUACAACAAGAUGUAAAGUUAUAUUUGAAAAUUAGAUCUGUGAUUACUCCAUAUAGUGCAAUAAAUAUUGCAAUGGGUCUUCCCCUUUCCCCCUUUUAAUGACACUUAUCUAAAUGUUUUGUAAAGCUUUGAAAGCUUCCAAGGGCAGAGUGUAUCCUAAAAGGUGACCUAAAUUUCUGGGUACCCUUUAAUAGCAUACACCAGCUAUCAUUACUCAGAUAGCCUGUGCUUGGAUGCUUUUUUCAGCCUUUCUGUGUGUUUGUGUGUCAUUGAGUGAUGUAGCUGAGGCUGAUCACUCACAGAUAUGGUAUUUUAAUUUGCUGCCCUGUGAAGCAGCAUCCACUGAUGCCUACAUAAUGUAAAGACUGGCUUCCUAUACACAUUCGAGACAGGAUGAGGCUAAGAAGCAAAAAAACACAGGAAGUAUUUUUGCAAAGGGGAGAAUUGGGAAGAGUUUAAAGCUUCAUACUGUCCUCAGAUAAUGUAAUGUUUUGGGACCUGUGAAUAGGAGAAGUCCAACACUAUUUUCUGCCUGGUGCACCCUGAUAAUGAAGGUGGGCAGUGCUGGGGUCUCCUACACACAAGGCCAAUCAGGGGUUGUUUCCCAUGGGUCUUAAUGUUCUGGCUGGGGACAGAGGACAGAUCCCAGUGUGCUUUUCAAGCUUUUAAAGUAUUAUUCAGUCUGGAUGAAUGACUACCCUUUGUUUUGUCAUCAGAGAAUAUUUAUGACCGUCGAAGCAAGGCUGAGUUCCUGGAGACAGGAUAACGCGUGGCUUUCUGCUGCCAGACAGAGAGUUCCUUUCGGUGGUCACACCAAUGUUUUUUCAUACUCCCACGGACACCGCAACUUUUUUGGAUAAGGAAGAAGAUGAUGGAACACAGAUGAGGGAAAGAAAUGGCCUCAGAGAACUUGGAUACAUGGGGGAUCCAGUUUUUCAUUUUUGGUCCAUUGUAAGUUAUGGAAUCUUGCUAUUAGGAACAAAUCUGGAUGAACUGCUUUAUGGAACAGCAAACCCAGGUAUGUGUGUUUGUGAAAAUUAAAGAAUUUUCAAGGGGGAAAUAAUCACUGUUAUUUUAACUGUUGAUAAAUGUUAUAUGCACUGUAGACUUCCAUAUUAAUUUAUUCUUCUAUGCAAAUAUUUCCCAUGCUUGUUUCAUUUUUUUCCCACAGCAUUUUUUUAAGAGCUCUGGAAGCUGGAUUUGAUGGCUUCUAAACCACCACAAUUUCUUUUCACUUGGCAAGAACCUGAGGCACUCCACGUGUGAACGCGAGGUACAAUGAGCCAUUCUGUGGUGGUCAGUGCCAAGAAACAGUGGCUGGCAGUACUUCUCUCCAGAUGUACCAUUUGGCACAUUAAGCAAGUCUUUUCUUAGAAGGGGAACCUAUGGUUUUGCCAUGUAAUGCAAAACACCAAUGGAAUCACUACAUAAGCAAAAUGCCAGUAAUGGUAUAGUGGUCCAGCCACAAACAUUGGUGCCAUUCAUAUGUACUGUGAAGCAGCCAUCAGUCUAAAGAGCAGGAGAAAACACUGGGGAAAGAAGGGCAAGCCAGGGUAGCAACGCAAGGAUGGUGAUUUGCACAGGCCCAGGAAGCACAUCAGCAGGAAUAUGAUUUGUUGGUUUUUCUUCUAUAUCCCCCCUGUAAUACUUGGGUUUGCUGGAAGCUGAGAAGCAGUAUCUCAAGGAGGAUUGUUUUAUUCUUGCUGUUUCUCAUGCACCUACUGUAGCAUCUGCUGCUGCAUUCUGUCUGAGACAGGAUAUUGAGAUAGCCUGUUGUUUGACCUAACCUAGCAAGCUCUUAUAUUUAACCUAGCUAGCUCCUAUACAGUAGUUUCCUAAGAUGGGAUCUGUUUUCUCACCCACCUUAUGUCAAAUAAUCAGAGAGCAUGUUCCCUUUUCUUACCACCUCUGCCCUGCUGCAAUUCUUCUGAUGCCAUUAGUCUUAUUUCUGGUUUAUAAGAGAACUAAGGCCAUACUUUCUCAUCAGCCAGCCAGAUACACUGAAUUCCAAGGAGUGUGUGGCCUGUUCUCCAUGGCAGUCCUGCC
Pezoporus occidentalis (night parrot) is the source of this 6584-nucleotide long non-coding RNA. RefSeq lists it as uncharacterized. NCBI's taxonomy places the organism in Eukaryota, Metazoa, Chordata, Aves, Psittaciformes, Psittacidae. The record is from RefSeq and is a predicted model, not a curated record. The transcript is spliced from 4 exons.